This 1937-nucleotide long non-coding RNA is filed under the name Sus scrofa (pig). RNAcentral describes it as "lncRNA (ENSSSCG00030057443.1)". The record is from RNAcentral. Lineage: Eukaryota; Metazoa; Chordata; Mammalia; Artiodactyla; Suidae.
GUGGAGCGCGGGGAGGGCGCGCAGCAAGGGCGGCCGCCGUUACGGCGCGGGCGUGGUCACGUGGCCGUCGGUCACCGCUGCCACCGCCCCCUCCCGCCCUGUUCUCUUUCUGGUCGGGUCGGGCCCGGCCGGCACCACGAGCGCCCUGCAGAGACUGAGGGAGAGAGAAAGAGGAGGGGAGGAGGAGGAGGAGGAGGAGGAUUCAGGGAGUAGGAGCUGGGGAGCCCUCCCGCGCCACAGAAAAUUAAAUUUCCAGAGACUUGGUGAAGAUAGGAAAACUAUCAGAAAGACUAUAGCACUAUUGUACUGUGAAAAAUCAGAAAAUUGCCUUCUUUUUUUCCUCUGCUAUUUUUGGUAUACUUGUGGAGGAGACCUCUGUUGUACAGAGCCUGAAGUCAUCUAUGAUCCAUAACAAGAGCAUAAGUUUUCAAGUGUCAGUUAGAUUUGUGGAUCAGUAAAGUUUUCCUGAUAGGUAGUCACUUUUGGUGACAGUGUCCAGUUCUCAAAAUGUAUCAUUCCUUAUCUGAAACUAGACAUCCUCUGCAGCCAGAAGAACAAGAAGUGGGCAUUGAUCCUUUGUCUAGCUACUUAAACAAGCCUGGAGGACCAUCCUUGUGACAUAUGGAAAUUCCUGGGCUAAGGUUUCAAAUCAGAGCUGCAGCUGCCAACCUAUGCCACAGCCAUAGCGACUUGGGAUCUGAGCUGCAUCUAUGACCUAUACCACAGCUCCCAGCAAUGCCAGAUCCAUAACCCACUGGGUGAGGCCAGGGAUCAAACCCGUAUCCUCAUGGAUGCUAGUUGAGUUCAUUUCUGCUGAGCUGGAACAGAAACUACAAUAUUUAAUAUUUUUGAAGUUUUGGAUGAAUAUAGAAAUAGUUACUCAUGAUCCAACAUACCUAUUUUAGGAAAUCUUCCUGCCUGAACAUUUUAAGUGAGUUGGAGAAAAUAACUUGGCAAGUCAAGUCUUGAAGUACUGACUAAAAAAGUCACUGACUCUUAAGAGGGAAAAAUAUAAUGAUAGUAAAGAAAUAUGACGGUAGACUAAAUGAAUAAGAGUAUGUUUUAGUGUGACCUGGAGGAGGCCUUGAGAGUUAACCUGGCAGUGUAGGAAGUGCAGGCUUAGGACAAGGGCGUUGGGGAAUAAGUGACUGAAUGAUGAUGUGGUUUUUACAGCUACAGUUCACAUUUUGAAUACGAGCGGUAAGGAGGAUCAAAAAUGAGAUGAUUAACCAAAUUCUUUGUCUAAGACAUUUAGUCUUUUAUUUUAGUAUACUUAUGUUUCCAUACAGUAAGUUAUGCCCUAAUAAAAAUUAAAGAGCAAGUUGCAUUUGGAAGAUCAGGUCAUCGUAACUCAUUGACAUUAGGCCACAUAACUGAAUAAUGUCUUCCUUCAGUGAAAUACAUCAAAUGAGAUCAACAAUUAUGACUCAUAAACAUGCCUCGCAGGCAUAAAACAGCAGGGAAUUAGCAUGUGAGGCUGAUAAAUAUGCAUGUAAAUAAGCUCCCAAAGGAAUAACAUGGGUUUGAUUGAUAGGUUUAGAAUUGGAACAUAUGUAAACCCCUUUAUUCCUCAUUCUGGUGUAGCUAAGUAAAGAUGCGUUUUACUUGUUAAAAAGUUUCAAUAACUUUGUAAAUCUUAAUGCCACAUCUGUUUUUUUUUUUGUUGUUGUUGUUGUUGUUGUUGUUGGGUUUUUUGUAUGUCACUUGUAAGAUUAAUUGAAUUGUCUACAGGCUGGUUGGCCCUCACAUAUAAGACAUGGUGGAGCAUGUGAGUGAGAGGCUAUGCAUCUGGGGCUAGAGAUGGGGUAGGAGUCUGGGAAAUCUCUGUUAUAAAAUGAUGUAUGCUUAUAUGACAUUUCUUUUGGAAAUGAAGAUGUGACAUAGCAAUUAACUUUGACUCUAAGUAUAUUUCAUAUCCCCUUUCCGUAUUUUUUCAG